Molecule: ribosomal RNA, 23 nt
Filed under: Veronica hookeriana
Lineage: Eukaryota; Viridiplantae; Streptophyta; Magnoliopsida; Lamiales; Plantaginaceae
Also listed under: 2 other names
Description: partial 28S ribosomal RNA
Source: RNAcentral
CCGCGACCCCAGGUCAGGCGGGA